This 253-nucleotide ribosomal RNA is filed under the name uncultured bacterium. Its description in RNAcentral is "partial 16S ribosomal RNA". It matches the Rfam family "Bacterial small subunit ribosomal RNA", at positions 524 to 776 of the family's 1533-position model. The record is from RNAcentral. RNAcentral also lists the same sequence under 1 other name.
UACGUAGGCAGCAAGCGUUGUUCGGAGUUACUGGGCGUAAAGAGUAUGUAGGCGGUGUUCUAAGUUCGGUGUGAAAUCUCCCGGCUCAACUGGGAGGGUGCGCCGAAGACUGGGAUGCUGGAGUCUCGGAGAGGAACGCGGAAUUCCUGGUGUAGCGGUGAAAUGCGUAGAUAUCAGGAGGAACACCAGUGGUGUAGACGGCGUUCUGGACGAGUACUGACGCUGAGAUACGAAAGCGUGGGGAGCAAACAGG